GUGGCCUACGGGGCGCAGCAGUGGGGGAUAUUGCACAAUGGAGGAAACUCUGAUGCAGCGACGCCGCGUGAGGGAUGACGGCCCUACGGGUUGUAAACCUCUUUUGCCGGGGAGCAACGGGCGCCACGUGUGGCGCCACUGAGAGUACCCGGAGAAAAAGCAUCGGCUAACUCCGUGCCAGCAGCCGCGGUAAUACGGAGGAUGCGAGCGUUAUCCGGAUUUAUUGGGUUUAAAGGGUGCGUAGGCGGAUCGUUAAGUCAGUGGUCAAAUUGAGGGGCUCAACCCCUUCCCGCC
Molecule: ribosomal RNA, 294 nt
Filed under: uncultured bacterium
Lineage: Bacteria
Description: partial 16S ribosomal RNA
Rfam family: Bacterial small subunit ribosomal RNA
Source: RNAcentral